UACGUAGGGUGCGAGCGUUGUCCGGAAUUAUUGGGCGUAAAGAGCUUGUAGGCGGUUUGUCGCGUCUGCUGUGAAAAUCCGGGGCUCAACCCCGGACUUGCAGUGGGUACGGGCAGACUAGAGUGUGGUAGGGGAGACUGGAAUUCCUGGUGUAGCGGUGAAAUGCGCAGAUAUCAGGAAGAACACCAAUGGCGAAGGCAGCUCUCUGGGACGGUACUGACACUGGAGACGCGAAAAGCGUGGGGAGCAAACAGG
This 255-nucleotide ribosomal RNA is filed under the name uncultured bacterium. Its description in RNAcentral is "partial 16S ribosomal RNA". It matches the Rfam family "Bacterial small subunit ribosomal RNA", at positions 524 to 776 of the family's 1533-position model. The record is from RNAcentral.